GAAAUGCGAUAAGCAAUGCGAAUUGCAGAAUUCCGCGAGUCAUCAGAUCUUUGAACGCAGCCCGCGCCAGAGAGCUAUCUCUUUGGCAUGUUUGUUUCAGUGUGUUUGGUUGACUUCAAACAGCUCAAUGCGAUUGAACUCUCUCUCUUGUAAAAGAGGGGGGGGGAGGUCUCUCGUGAAAAGCGAAGGCGUGGGACUCGCCCCGCCAACGAUGUGGUCACUGUUCUACAGUGAAUUCGUUGGGUAACAUCGAGGCAAGUCAUUUAUGUACGUCUUAAUCAAAUCAAAAUCUUCAAUCUGCACCUGAAAUCAAGCAAGAACACCCGCUGAACUUAA
RNAcentral lists this unclassified non-coding RNA (336 nucleotides) under uncultured fungus. RNAcentral describes it as "sequence contains ITS1". The stretch from base 1 to 105 matches the Rfam family "5.8S ribosomal RNA", at positions 50 to 154 of the family's 154-position model. Lineage: Eukaryota; Fungi. The record is from RNAcentral.